GGGGGCGUAGUUCAAUUGGUAGAGCACAUGCUUUGCACGCAUGAAGUUAUCGGUUCAAGCCCGUUCGCCUCCA
RNAcentral lists this transfer RNA (73 nucleotides) under Closterium baillyanum. RNAcentral describes it as "tRNA-Ala". It matches the Rfam family "tRNA". Rfam says of the family: Transfer RNA (tRNA) molecules are approximately 80 nucleotides in length. Their secondary structure includes four short double-helical elements and three loops (D, anti-codon, and T loops). Lineage: Eukaryota; Viridiplantae; Streptophyta; Zygnematophyceae; Desmidiales; Closteriaceae. The record is from RNAcentral.